UUUGUAAUAUACCGAAAAUUCGGAAAAUAAAAAUGUCGAACUUUAGUCAAAUUGACCAAAGUGCGAGGAUGGAACACUUCGGAAAGUCCGAAGGUGUUAAAAUGAUUAAAAGUGAGUUGUGGAAGGUUUUCGAGAGCUAAAGAAUUGAAUUCUGCGAAACUGCAGAUUUUCAGCUCUCGGGGACCGGUCCCUGAAGGGAGAGA
This 203-nucleotide long non-coding RNA is filed under the name Ananas comosus (pineapple). Its description in RNAcentral is "long non-coding RNA (ACOM_LNC038513)". The record is from RNAcentral. Lineage: Eukaryota; Viridiplantae; Streptophyta; Magnoliopsida; Poales; Bromeliaceae.